UGGGGAGGCCUCCUGGCUGACUGAGGAAAGCAGAGGGUGGAGCCACCCUGACUCCAUGUCCAUCAGGCUUCGGGAGACUGGACAUCUUCUCCAGAUUCACCACAGGCACGAAAAGGCUACACGUGGAGAGAGGGAGGUGGAGAGAGCAACUGAGGGCGCCCCUCACCGCAAUGCUUCUGGAAGGCUUGAGGCUUCACCACCUGGCUGCAGUGGUUACAUACAACCAAAUAGAAGUCAUCAUGGGCAGGGCAGUGCCCGAAGAUGGACAUGUCUGCAAUGACAGAAGUCUUUAUCACUGGGGUUAAGGACUCAGGAUUUCUCUAGAUCAAAGAGCACUCUCACCCCACUUAGAAGGCACUCUGCCUUCCAACUGACAUGUGGGCUUUUAGGGGGAUGCUCCCAGCUUCCACAGUCCAGUCUAACCAGACCCAAAGUGUAUGGGCUUUCCUGUAAGUGGGCACCAACUAUGAUGAGGAUCUCCAACAACAGGCCACAGGAGCCAGGGCAACUGGCUGACUCAGACCUAUCAAAAUGAGCUCCCCCGCCCCCCACUGGUCUUGCUGCUUCAGGCUACCUCCCCAAGAGGGAGAGGAAAGGUGGUUCAAUUUUCCCGGAGUCUCAGUCCUGUGUGUGUUGACGCCCACCUUCUUUAAUGAGGGUCAUGGCGUCCAGCUUCUUCACGUUUUUGUUACUCUCCUCCAGUUCAGCCCCUGGAGGAGAAGCAGAGCUCAGAAGGCCCAUCCCCUUCUCAGAACCCAGCAGGGCUGCAGCCCAGCGGUAUGAAGCCCAACUCCCUGACAAGCACUCAGAAUUCCUGGAGAAACUUUCAAUGGGUCAUUCACAGGUGCCCAUUUUUCCUUCAUGUGCCCUCUGAGAUGAGAUGACCCAUUAAGAAGGAUCAUAAAGUCUCUUCACUCUCAGGUACACUACAGGGCUCCACUGCUAACUAGACGGGUAACUGUGGGUAAAUGUCUCUUUUCUGGGUCUUGCUUCCCCUUUUUGAGGCUGCUUACAUGGGUCGUUUCUGCUACUCUGUGGCAUCCCAGAGAAGUACCCUCCCAGAGCCCCACCCCCAUAAACUCAUUUUGCUCCACCCAAGUUACCAUAGU
Cricetulus griseus (Chinese hamster) is the source of this 1109-nucleotide non-coding RNA. Lineage: Eukaryota; Metazoa; Chordata; Mammalia; Rodentia; Cricetidae. The record is from RefSeq and is a predicted model, not a curated record.